GUCCACGCCGUAAACGAUGGAUGCUAGCCGUCAGCAAGCAUGCUUGUUGGUGGCGCAGCUAACGCAUUAAGCAUCCCGCCUGGGGAGUACGGCCGCAAGGUUAAAACUCAAAGGAAUUGACGGGGGCCCGCACAAGCGGUGGAGCAUGUGGUUUAAUUCGACGCAACGCGAAGAACCUUACCAACCCUUGACAUGUCCGGUCGGUUUCCAGAGAUGGAUUCCUCCCAGCAAUGGGCCGGAACACAGGUGCUGCAUGGCUGUCGU
RNAcentral lists this ribosomal RNA (264 nucleotides) under uncultured bacterium. RNAcentral describes it as "partial 16S ribosomal RNA". It matches the Rfam family "Bacterial small subunit ribosomal RNA", at positions 793 to 1055 of the family's 1533-position model. The record is from RNAcentral.